RNAcentral lists this non-coding RNA (64 nucleotides) under unclassified sequences. The record is from RNAcentral.
UUCUUAAACAUGCCAGUAAGUAUUGACACUGUCAGUUCCAGGCCUGAUAAAUUGUGAGAGAAAA